GCGAUGAAGGACGUGCUAAUCUGCGAUAAGCGUCGGUAAGGUGAUAUGAACCGUUAUAACCGGCGAUUUCCGAAUGGGGAAACCCAGUGUGUUUCUACACACUAUCAUUAACUGAAUCCAUAGGUUAAUGAGGCGAACCGGGGGAACUGAAACAUCUAAGUACCCCGAGGAAAAGAAAUCAACCGAGAUUCCCCCAGUAGCGGCGAGCGAACGGGGAGGAGCCCAGAGCCUGAAUCAGUGUGUGUGUUAGUGGAAGCGUCUGGAAAGGCGCGCGAUACAGGGUGACAGCCCCGUACACAAAAAUGCACAUGCUGUGAGCUCGAUGAGUAGGGCGGGACACGUGGUAUCCUGUCUGAAUAUGGGGGGACCAUCCUCCAAGGCUAAAUACUCCUGACUGACCGAUAGUGAACCAGUACCGUGAGGGAAAGGCGAAAAGAACCCCGGCGAGGGGAGUGAAAAAGAACCUGAAACCGUGUACGUACAAGCAGUGGGAGCACGCUUAGGCGUGUGACUGCGUACCUUUUGUAUAAUGGGUCAGCGACUUAUAUUCUGUAGCAAGGUUAACCGAAUAGGGGAGCCGAAGGGAAACCGAGUCUUAACUGGGCGUUAAGUUGCAGGGUAUAGACCCGAAACCCGGUGAUCUAGCCAUGGGCAGGUUGAAGGUUGGGUAACACUAACUGGAGGACCGAACCGACUAAUGUUGAAAAAUUAGCGGAUGACUUGUGGCUGGGGGUGAAAGGCCAAUCAAACCGGGAGAUAGCUGGUUCUCCCCGAAAGCUAUUUAGGUAGCGCCUCGUGAAUUCAUCUCCGGGGGUAGAGCACUGUUUCGGCAAGGGGGUCAUCCCGACUUACCAACCCGAUGCAAACUGCGAAUACCGGAGAAUGUUAUCACGGGAGACACACGGCGGGUGCUAACGUCCGUCGUGAAGAGGGAAACAACCCAGACCGCCAGCUAAGGUCCCAAAGUCAUGGUUAAGUGGGAAACGAUGUGGGAAGGCCCAGACAGCCAGGAUGUUGGCUUAGAAGCAGCCAUCAUUUAAAGAAAGCGUAAUAGCUCACUGGUCGAGUCGGCCUGCGCGGAAGAUGUAACGGGGCUAAACCAUGCACCGAAGCUGCGGCAGCGACGCUGAUGCGUUGUUGGGUAGGGGAGCGUUCUGUAAGCCUGUGAAGGUGUGCUGUGAGGCAUGCUGGAGGUAUCAGAAGUGCGAAUGCUGACAUAAGUAACGAUAAAGCGGGUGAAAAGCCCGCUCGCCGGAAGACCAAGGGUUCCUGUCCAACGUUAAUCGGGGCAGGGUGAGUCGACCCCUAAGGCGAGGCCGAAAGGCGUAGUCGAUGGGAAACAGGUUAAUAUUCCUGUACUUGGUGUUACUGCGAAGGGGGGACGGAGAAGGCUAUGUUGGCCGGGCGACGGUUGUCCCGGUUUAAGCGUGUAGGCUGGUUUUCCAGGCAAAUCCGGAAAAUCAAGGCUGAGGCGUGAUGACGAGGCACUACGGUGCUGAAGCAACAAAUGCCCUGCUUCCAGGAAAAGCCUCUAAGCAUCAGGUAACAUCAAAUCGUACCCCAAACCGACACAGGUGGUCAGGUAGAGAAUACCAAGGCGCUUGAGAGAACUCGGGUGAAGGAACUAGGCAAAAUGGUGCCGUAACUUCGGGAGAAGGCACGCUGAUAUGUAGGUGAAGUCCCUCGCGGAUGGAGCUGAAAUCAGUCGAAGAUACCAGCUGGCUGCAACUGUUUAUUAAAAACACAGCACUGUGCAAACACGAAAGUGGACGUAUACGGUGUGACGCCUGCCCGGUGCCGGAAGGUUAAUUGAUGGGGUUAGCGCAAGCGAAGCUCUUGAUCGAAGCCCCGGUAAACGGCGGCCGUAACUAUAACGGUCCUAAGGUAGCGAAAUUCCUUGUCGGGUAAGUUCCGA
RNAcentral lists this ribosomal RNA (1915 nucleotides) under Escherichia coli CHS 77. RNAcentral's name for it is "bacterial LSU rRNA". It matches the Rfam family "Bacterial large subunit ribosomal RNA", at positions 46 to 1986 of the family's 2925-position model. The record is from RNAcentral. Lineage: Bacteria; Pseudomonadati; Pseudomonadota; Gammaproteobacteria; Enterobacterales; Enterobacteriaceae.